Molecule: long non-coding RNA, 370 nt
Filed under: Carica papaya (papaya)
Lineage: Eukaryota; Viridiplantae; Streptophyta; Magnoliopsida; Brassicales; Caricaceae
Description: long non-coding RNA (CPAP_LNC000591)
Source: RNAcentral
CCAGCUGACCUGCACGUGUGGUCAGCCAUGCAAACAGGAGGGUGUGUAGAUUGGAUUGCUAGUAUUCUAGAUACUGAAGGAACGACUAAGGGUUAAUUUAGAAAUGAGCGAUUGGAACUAAAAGGCCAGAAGAUCGAACAGCUAUGAGAACUGAUUGUUUCAAUUUGUAGAGUAGAGAGAUCCAACGGUCCAGAUUUCGCUCAGAUAAAAGGUAUGAAAUUACUGUUAGUGAGGCUUGAUCCUCAGGUCCUUCUGUUGCCAUGCACGCAAAGAUUGGACGGCUAUGAAAUUUAGGGGUGAGUAUGAAUAGAGUGGGCCGCUACCCCCUGUCAAGCAGAAGCAUGACGGAGAAGAGAGCAGAGCAGUCGAG